RNAcentral lists this ribosomal RNA (546 nucleotides) under uncultured Glomeraceae. Its description in RNAcentral is "SSU rRNA". It matches the Rfam family "Eukaryotic small subunit ribosomal RNA", at positions 548 to 1098 of the family's 1831-position model. Lineage: Eukaryota; Fungi; Glomeromycota; Glomeromycetes; Glomerales; Glomeraceae. The record is from RNAcentral.
UUGGAGGGCAAGUCUGGUGCCAGCAGCCGCGGUAAUUCCAGCUCCAAUAGCGUAUAUUAAAGUUGCUGCAGUUAAAAAGCUCGUAGUUGAAUUUCGGGACCAUCAUGUCGGUCGUGCCUCGGUACGUACUGGUAUUGUUGGUUUCUCCCUUCUGACGAACCAUGAUGUCAUUUAUUUGGUGUUGUGGGGAAUCAGGACUGUUACUUUGAAAAAAUUAGAGUGUUUAAAGCGGGCUUUUGCUUGAAUAGAUUAGCAUGGAAUAAUAGAAUAGGACGUUGUGGUUCUAUUUUGUUGGUUUCUAGGACCACCGUAAUGAUUAAUAGGGAUAGUUGGGGGCAUUAGUAUUCAAUUGUCAGAGGUGAAAUUCUUGGAUUUAUUGAAGACUAGCUACUGCGAAAGCAUUUGCCAAGGAUGUUUUCAUUAAUCAAGAACGAAAGUUAGGGGAUCGAAGACGAUCAGAUACCGUCGUAGUCUUAACCAUAAACUAUGCCGACUAGGAAUCGGGCGACGUUAUUUUCAUGACUCGUUCGGCGCCUUACGGGAAAC